This 497-nucleotide ribosomal RNA is filed under the name uncultured bacterium. Its description in RNAcentral is "partial 16S ribosomal RNA". It matches the Rfam family "Bacterial small subunit ribosomal RNA", at positions 28 to 507 of the family's 1533-position model. The record is from RNAcentral.
GAUGAACGCUGGCGGCGUGCCUAAUACAUGCAAGUCGAGCGAACAGACGAGAAGCUUGCUCCUCUGACGUUAGCGGCGGACGGGUGAGUAACACGUGGAUAACCUACCUAUAAGACUGGGAUAACUUCGGGAAACCGGAGCUAAUACCGGAUAACAUUUUGAACCGCAUGGUUCAACAGUGAAAGACGGUCUUGCUGUCACUUAUAGAUGGAUCCGCGCCGCAUUAGCUAGUUGGUAAGGUAACGGCUUACCAAGGCAACGAUGCGUAGCCGACCUGAGAGGGUGAUCGGCCACACUGGAACUGAGACACGGUCCAGACUCCUACGGGAGGCAGCAGUAGGGAAUCUUCCGCAAUGGGCGAAAGCCUGACGGAGCAACGCCGCGUGAGUGAAGAAGGUCUUCGGAUCGUAAAACUCUGUUAUUAGGGAAGAACAAAUGUGUAAGUAACUAUGCACGUCUUGACGGUACCUAAUCAGAAAGCCACGGCUAACUACGUG